CUAACUCCACCCACUGCAUAAUUUUGAAAAAAUGCUAAAAAGUUGGCAAGGUCCUGAGAGAGGGGGGUGUAAACUCCUGUCAAUGAUCAGUCCCGAUCUGCAAAUGUAAAUGAGACUCAUGUUCACAGGCACAAGCUAGGAGAGCCCGUUUUAUGACGUAGUUAGGUCCCAAACAGUUGAAUCUACGCCAGCAUCAGCCUUGUAAGGUUCAGGAUGAAUUUAAACAGUAGAUUGUGUGUUGAGUCAUUUUCAACCCAUGAAAAGUAUAAAUGACAUAGCACAGGGACAUCACUAGACAAUUGUGGUUAGUGGGGGUGCAUCUCAUCAAAAGGAAUGCCAUCCAUCUACUAACAACAGGUGCUUUCUUAAACAGCAGUUUAAUUUGUUAUGUGCACUUAGACCUAUUUAUUGCAUUUUUGUCGCCUCCUAUGAAGAAUUUUCGCAUAACCAACGAUCAAGAAAAUAAAGGAUUUGCGUUGUAAUGACUGGCAGUAGGCUAGUUUGCCGUUUCAAACCAGUGUCAGUGUCAGUGACCUGAUUAUACCGAAAUAGGCCUAGGCUACUUCAGAGACCAGAGGGCAAAGUAUGCUAUCUAUCAUUAUUCUAGCUACCUCUUUCACGUACAUCAAUCCUGUAAACUGUAGCCCUACCAUGAUGCAGGCCAGGUAAUUAUCUUCAGCCGUAGCGUAAUAGAGAACAACCGAAAUUAAAUAGCUUGAAACACUGAUGAUGUCGCCACAUGAUUGUUUUUUAUUUGUUUUAGCAUUUUCUACUUCAGUCGAUAGCAAGAUAGAAGAAUUUUGUGAAGACAGAACAUUGCUGUUUUGUGAUGCUAUCAAUUAGAAGCAGAGUAAACUACAGUAGUAAAUUCCUACUCCUUGCAGAGCGUGUUGCACUGCCAAUGGCAACAAUACAGUAGUACAGUAACAAUACUAUGCCUUCCCAUUCUAAAGCGCAUCCUAAACGCAAUGGUGCCAUCGAUGAUUCGACAAUUAUAACUGAUUACUUUUGAUACUGGCAGUUUUAAGCACACUUAUUUGGGAGGGUUAGACAGUACAUUUAGGGGGCUGACACCCCUCAAAUAGGCCUAACGACGCCCCUGACCUAGUGUUAAGAAGACUGGGAAACGCACCGAAUGAAUAGUAAUCGUUCGCCAUUAAAGGUGAAAUUUCCAGUUUUCGUCAAAAAUAAAAAUUAAACCUUCAGUGAUUAAAUCAUUUUGAAAAUGUGAAAAAAUAAUGAUUACCAAAUAUCCUUGUUCAUUCCGUGUGUCUCGAUAAAUUGCUGCAUCACUUUUCGUUGCGUUUUCAGGAAAAUGUAGGCAAAUGAAAUGCCCCAAAUAGAGAAUGAUUGCAAUGAUGCCUUGAGAAGGAAUCAACUCUGUCUUAUUAAAUACAUUACCUAUAUACCAUCACUAUAUUACCGUUUUAAGUCUAGAAACAUCCAACAACAACCAAAAUGCACUUAAUCUAAAUAUUCCCGAAUAGGAAUAUGGAAUAGGGAUAAAUUAGGCGACAACUGAGUUGGCUAGCCUAUUGCUCGAUGCAUCACCAUCGUAGAUUUGUUAAUUGUCUUAGCACAUUCGAUUAUUUACAUUCAUGUCUAAAAGAUGAAAACAAAAACAAAUAUUUUGUCCUGCUUUAUCUACAUUUUGUUAUGCUUUUGAGAAUCAAAUCGGAUUGCGGGUGUGUUAACAAGUUACAAGACUUGAUUUACCGCUCUGCUGUUAUUACUCCUUGACCAUCUCCUGAACCGUGCCUUUCAAGAGCAUGUAUUGAUUUAAUAGGUAGGUGGCAGAUUGAUUUCUGACCGCGUGGCCCCAAGUUUAUUGGUCACACAAGUCCGCUGGGUCUGGUAGGGACUUAAGGGUCUCACGGGUGGCCCGACUCCCACUACAACCGUGUAGUCCACCACACUUUGUUUUUGAAGUGGACUAAAUCUGGAAGAGUGUGCCCACUGCUGCUUCUGGAGUUGGCCUCUUGCCACUUUGUCGGUGAACAUUUAUUUCUCCCAUCAUGGCACAUGGGAGGCUGGUGUGAGGGAGAGACCAUCACUCUUUCAGUUUGAGGGGCCUGCCAGGCACAAAGAGCACACUGUGUGGGUGCCUAAGACAAGCUCUUGCUCUCAGGAUCCUCUCAGAAUGUGCUACCAUUGCCCUGGAUACAGCUCCAA
Molecule: long non-coding RNA, 2172 nt
Organism: Clupea harengus (Atlantic herring)
Lineage: Eukaryota; Metazoa; Chordata; Actinopteri; Clupeiformes; Clupeidae
Exons: 3
Source: RefSeq, a predicted model, not a curated record